This is a long non-coding RNA of Artibeus jamaicensis (Jamaican fruit-eating bat), 400 nucleotides long. RefSeq lists it as uncharacterized. NCBI's taxonomy places the organism in Eukaryota, Metazoa, Chordata, Mammalia, Chiroptera, Phyllostomidae. The transcript is spliced from 3 exons. The record is from RefSeq and is a predicted model, not a curated record.
UUCAGAGCAGGCAGAGGACCAAACCGGGUCAGAAGCAGGAAGAGGAGCACACAUCUGGAGAAAGUCAAGAUACGGAACCAAAGAAAACCAAAUACAAUCUGUGCCCUUAUAGGGGUUACAAUCCACUUCCACGAGGAGAAAAAGGCUUGUGCAGAGGCUCAGGGGCAGAAAAACACAGACGUGUUCGAAGAGUAGAGAAAGGGGAUCUUGGCCAGCACGCAACGGGCACAGGGGAGCGCUGGAGUGGGGCUGGGCCAGCAAGCAGGUAAUCGCAGGCCAUGGCGCGGAUCUUGGAUUUUAUGCUAAGGAAGGAAGGUCACUAAGGCUCCGACCCUCCAGCUCUCUCACUAGAUCAGAUCCAGGGAGUCCCCGAGAUUCGUCCCGGACACAUAAACUUCGG